GACGAACGCUGGCGGCGUGCUUAACACAUGCAAGUCGAACGAAGUGGCGAACGGGUGAGUAACGCGUAAUCCACCUGCCCUUCAGAGGGGGACAACAGUAGGAAACGACUGCUAAUACCGCAUACUGAAGGAGGGGAUUGCGUCUGAUUAGCUAGUUGGAGGGGUAACGGCCCACCAAGGCGAGGAUCAGUAGCCGGUCUGAGAGGAUGAACGGCCACAUUGGGACUGAGACACGGCCCAGACUCCUACGGGAGGCAGCAGUAGGGAAUCGUCCGCAAUGGGCGCAAGCCUGACGGAGCAACGCCGCGUGAGUGAAGAAGGUUUUCGGAUCGUAAAGCACUGUUGUCAGAGAAGCGGUAUCUAACCAGAAAGCCACGGCUAACUACGUGCCAGCAGCCGCGGUAAUAC
Molecule: ribosomal RNA, 408 nt
Filed under: uncultured bacterium
Lineage: Bacteria
Description: partial 16S ribosomal RNA
Rfam family: Bacterial small subunit ribosomal RNA
Source: RNAcentral